CAGUCGCCACGGUAAUACGUAGGUGGCAAGCGUUGUCCGGAAUUAUUGGGCGUAAAGGGUUCGCAGGCGGUUUCUUAAGUCUGAUGUGAAAGCCCCCGGCUCAACCGGGGAGGGUCAUUGGAAACUGGGAAACUUGAGUGCAGAAGAGGAGAGUGGAACUCCACGUGUAGCGGUGAAAUGCGUAGAGAUGUGGAGGAACACCAGUGGCGAAGGCGACUCUCUGGUCUGUAACUGACGCUGAGGAGCGAAAGCGUGGGGAGCGAACAGGAUUAGAUACCCGAGUAGUCCCUGUCUCUUAUAC
RNAcentral lists this ribosomal RNA (301 nucleotides) under uncultured bacterium. RNAcentral describes it as "partial 16S ribosomal RNA". It matches the Rfam family "Bacterial small subunit ribosomal RNA", at positions 509 to 807 of the family's 1533-position model. The record is from RNAcentral.